RNAcentral lists this long non-coding RNA (265 nucleotides) under Ananas comosus (pineapple). RNAcentral's name for it is "long non-coding RNA (ACOM_LNC023420)". The record is from RNAcentral. Lineage: Eukaryota; Viridiplantae; Streptophyta; Magnoliopsida; Poales; Bromeliaceae.
GAUCAGACGCCGAACAGACAGAGCUUCCCCUGUCCGCCCAAGACUCAGCACAUGUACAAUUCAAGCAAAGAGAAUACACAAGCGGAAACAUACAUAAUGGCUUACACGAGGUUAAACAAUAGCCGAAGUGAAAGAAUACUAAACUAUACAAGUAUAAAGGUUAACUUUAAACCCUUUACAAGCAUUCAAACUUUACAUUCACAAUUCUUUUACCAUAUACAUGCUUUUCAUCAUUUCUUUCUUUACAUCACAAUUUUAUCAAAAU